RNAcentral lists this non-coding RNA (209 nucleotides) under Parahoeflea olei. Lineage: Bacteria; Pseudomonadati; Pseudomonadota; Alphaproteobacteria; Hyphomicrobiales; Rhizobiaceae. The record is from RNAcentral.
AUACUGUUUAAGUGUUCGGGUUCCAUGGAGGCCAAGCCUCCGGGAUUAAACGGGAACACGGUAGGGACGACCCGCAACGGGGCCUGAUCCGUGGCUGCCCUCGCAACUGUGAGCGUGAGCCUGCAUCCAUGAUGCCACUGGGAAACCGGGAAGGCGGAUGCGGGCGAAAAAGCGUGAGCCAGGAUACCUGCCCGGACUGUGGCGGCCGC